Molecule: ribosomal RNA, 440 nt
Filed under: uncultured bacterium
Lineage: Bacteria
Description: partial 16S ribosomal RNA
Rfam family: Bacterial small subunit ribosomal RNA
Source: RNAcentral
CCUACGGGAGGCUGCAGUGGGGAAUAUUGCACAAUGGGGGAAACCCUGAUGCAGCGACGCCGCGUGAGUGAAGAAGUAAUUCGUUAUGUAAAGCUCUAUCAGCAGGGAAGAAAAUGACGGUACCUGAGUAAGAAGCCCCGGCUAACUACGUGCCAGCAGCCGCGGUAAUACGGCGGGGGCCAGAGUUAUCCGGAUUUACUGGGUGUAAAGGGAGCGUAUACGGCAGGGCAAGUCCGGAGUGAAAGGGGGGGGCUCAACCCCCGGACUGCUCUGGAAACUGUAAGGCUGGAGUGCAGGAGAGGUAAGUGGAAGUCCUAGUGUAGCGGUGAAAUGCGUAGAUAUUAGGAGGAACACCAGUGGCGAAGGCGGCUUACUGGACUGUAACUGACGUUGAGGCUCGAAAGCGUGGGGAGCAAACAGGAUUAGAUACCCGUGUAGUC